GACGAACGCUGGCGGCGUGCCUAAUACAUGCAAGUUGAGCGCUGAAGGUUGGUACUUGUACCAACUGGAUGAGCAGCGAACGGGUGAGUAACGCGUGGGGAAUCUGCCUUUGAGCGGGGGACAACAUUUGGAAACGAAUGCUAAUACCGCAUAAAAACUUUAAACACAAGUUUUAAGUUUGAAAGAUGCAAUUGCAUCACUCAAAGAUGAUCCCGCGUUGUAUUAGCUAGUUGGUGAGGUAAAGGCUCGCCAAGGCGAUGAUACAUAGCCGACCUGAGAGGGUGAUCGGCCACAUUGGGACUGAGACACGGCCCAAACUCCUACGGGAGGCAGCAGUAGGGAAUCUUCGGCAAUGGACGAAAGUCUGACCGAGCAACGCCGCGUGAGUGAAGAAGGUUUCCGGAUCGUAAAACUCUGUUGGUAGAGAAGAACGUUGGUGAGAGUGGAAAGCUCAUCAAGUGACGGUAACUACCCAGAAAGGGACGGCUAACUACGUG
RNAcentral lists this ribosomal RNA (497 nucleotides) under uncultured bacterium. RNAcentral's name for it is "partial 16S ribosomal RNA". It matches the Rfam family "Bacterial small subunit ribosomal RNA", at positions 28 to 507 of the family's 1533-position model. The record is from RNAcentral.